RNAcentral lists this transfer RNA (58 nucleotides) under Oscillospiraceae bacterium. RNAcentral describes it as "tRNA-Val". It matches the Rfam family "tRNA", at positions 8 to 63 of the family's 71-position model. Rfam says of the family: Transfer RNA (tRNA) molecules are approximately 80 nucleotides in length. Lineage: Bacteria; Bacillati; Bacillota; Clostridia; Eubacteriales; Oscillospiraceae. The record is from RNAcentral.
UAGCUCAGCUGGGAGAGCACCUGCCUUACAAGCAGGGGGUCAUAGGUUCGAGCCCUAU